Molecule: ribosomal RNA, 976 nt
Filed under: uncultured Pseudomonadota bacterium
Lineage: Bacteria; Pseudomonadati; Pseudomonadota
Description: bacterial SSU rRNA
Rfam family: Bacterial small subunit ribosomal RNA
Source: RNAcentral
AUGCAAGUCGAACGCAGUAGCAAUACUGAGUGGCAGACGGGUGAGUAACAUGUGGGAAUCUGCCUUGUGGUUCAGGACAACAUUGGGAAACCGAUGCUAAUACUGGAUAAGCCCUUACGGGGAAAGUUUUAAUGCCAUAAGAUGAGCCCGCAUUUGAUUAGUUAGUUGGUGAGGUAAUGGCUCACCAAGACAAUGAUCAAUAGCUGAUCUGAGAGGAUGAUCAGCCACACUGGGACUGAGACACGGCCCAGACUCCUACGGGAGGCAGCAGUGGGGAAUCUUGCACAAUGGAGGAAACUCUGAUGCAGCGAUGCCGCGUGAGUGAAGAAGGCCUUUGGGUUGUAAAGCUCUUUUGUAGGGGAAGAUAAUGACUGUACCCUAAGAAUAAGGUCCGGCUAACUUCGUGCCAGCAGCCGCGGUAAUACGAAGGGACCUAGCGUAGUUCGGAAUUACUGGGCGUAAAGCGCGCGUAGGCCGUUGAGUUAGUUAAUUGUGAAAUCCCAAAGCUUAACUUUGGAACUGCAAUUAAAACUGCUCGACUAGAGUUUGAUAGAGGAAAGCGGAAUACAUAGUGUAGAGGUGAAAUUCGUAGAUAUUAUGUAGAACACCAGUUGCGAAGGCGGCUUUCUGGAUCAACACUGACGCUGAGGCGCGAAAGUAUGGGUAGCAAAGAGGAUUAGAUACCCUCGUAGUCCAUACCAUGAACGAUGAUUGCUAGAUGUUGGAAAUUUAUUUUCAGUAUCGCAGCUAACGCAUUAAGCAAUCCGCCUGGGGAGUACGACCGCAAGGUUAAAACUCAAAUGAAUUGACGGGGACCCGCACAAGCGGUGGAGCAUGUGGUUUAAUUCGAAGAUACGCGCAGAACCUUACCAACCCUUGACAUGUCUGUCGCGAGUUUAGGAAACUAGACUUUUCGGUUCGGCCGGACAGAACACAGGUGCUGCAUGCCUGUCGUCAGCUCGUGUCGUGAGAUGUU